AGGCAUUGGUGGGAUACUACCCUAAUUGUAUUGGAUUUCUAACCCGCAGCACUUAUCGUGCUGGGAGACAGUGUCAGGCGGGCAGUUUGACUGGGGCGGUCGCCUCCUAAAGAGUAACGGAGGCGCUCAAAGGUUCCCUCAGAAUGGUUGGAAAUCAUUCAUAGAGUGUAAAGGCAUAAGGGAGCUUGACUGCGAGACCUACAAGUCGAGCAGGGUCGAAAGACGGACUUAGUGAUCCGGUGGUUCCGCAUGGAAGGGCCAUCGCUCAACGGAUAAAAGCUACCCCGGGGAUAACAGGCUUAUCUCCCCCAAGAGUUCACAUCGACGGGGAGGUUUGGCACCUCGAUGUCGGCUCAUCGCAUCCUGGGGCUGUAGUCGGUCCCAAGGGUUGGGCUGUUCGCCCAUUAAAGCGGUACGCGAGCUGGGUUCAGAACGUCGUGAGACAGUUCGGUCCCUAUCCGUCGUGGGCGUAGGAAAUUUGAGAGGAGCUGUCCUUAGUACGAGAGGACCGGGAUGGACAUACCUCUGGUGUACCAGUUGUCGUGCCAACGGCAUAGCUGGGUAGCUAUGUAUGGACGGGAUAAGUGCUGAAAGCAUCUAAGCAUGAAGCCCCCCU
Molecule: ribosomal RNA, 616 nt
Filed under: Staphylococcus pseudintermedius
Lineage: Bacteria; Bacillati; Bacillota; Bacilli; Caryophanales; Staphylococcaceae
Description: partial 23S ribosomal RNA
Rfam family: Bacterial large subunit ribosomal RNA
Source: RNAcentral